This 423-nucleotide ribosomal RNA is filed under the name uncultured Nitrosomonas sp. RNAcentral's name for it is "bacterial SSU rRNA". It matches the Rfam family "Bacterial small subunit ribosomal RNA", at positions 207 to 621 of the family's 1533-position model. Lineage: Bacteria; Pseudomonadati; Pseudomonadota; Betaproteobacteria; Nitrosomonadales; Nitrosomonadaceae. The record is from RNAcentral.
CAAGACCUUGCGCUCUUGAAACGACCAAUGUCUAAUUAGCUAGUUGGUGAGGUAAUGGCUUACCAAGGCGACGAUCAGUAGCUGGUCUGAGAGGACGACCAGCCACACUGGGACUGAGACACGGCCCAGACUCCUACGGGAGGCAGCAGUGGGGAAUUUUGGACAAUGGGGGAAACCCUGAUCCAGCCAUGCCGCGUGAGUGAAGAAGGCCUUCGGGUUGUAAAGCCCUUUCAGCCGGAACGAAACGGUCACGGUUAAUACCCGCGACAACUGACGGUACCGGAAGAAGAAGCACCGGCUAACUACGUGCCAGCAGCCGCGGUAAUACGUAGGGUGCGAGCGUUAAUCGGAAUUACUGGGCGUAAAGCGUGCGCAGGCGGUUUUGUAAGUCAGAUGUGAAAUCCCCGGGCUUAACCUGGGAAC